Tetranychus urticae (two-spotted spider mite) is the source of this 788-nucleotide long non-coding RNA. RefSeq lists it as uncharacterized. NCBI's taxonomy places the organism in Eukaryota, Metazoa, Arthropoda, Arachnida, Trombidiformes, Tetranychidae. The record is from RefSeq and is a predicted model, not a curated record.
AAAUAAAAUAAAUUUGUAUUGAUCUGGAUUCGAUAAUUGGAUAUCUUUUUGUUUUUGGAUACUUAUUUAAGUAACGGUUUUAAGAUUUGAAAUUUCAACUGUUUUCUGUUAAAUGUUGUGAUCAGUAAAUUGGACCAAUUGAUUUAUGUGAUUGAUUAGAUACAUUGUAUGAUUGAGAUUAAGUUUUAUUAGUUGUCCAAAAUUGAUUCAAUGCUUUUAAAGUUGCCAUUUUAAAGUGAAUUAACAUUACCAAGGAAAAGAAAGUUUUCUUUCCAAUGAUUGAUUGAUAUGCAUGGCAUUUCUUUUAAUUAAAUAAUCAAGCGAUUAACAAUCAACUUCAGAAAGAGUUGAAAGAUUGUCUGGUUUACCUGAAUUCAUCACAAUCCAAGUUGACUGACAAACUGUUGUGAGAGGCAAAUUGUUCAACAUGUAUUACCAGUUAUCGCUGUUCACAUCUUAAUUUUACAGCAUUUUAGUUUGUUAAUUAACUUAAACAGAGUAAUUGUGCAACCAUCACAAUUAAUUUUCCACUCAAAUUGUAAUGAUAUGAUCAAGUUUCUUCUUUAUAACCACAAACAAAAUGGUUUAAUUCAAUGUAAACCCAAAUAAUAAGGAUAACCGUAAUUGUGUGUACGCAUCAUUAAAUGGCUAAAACCUUUAGGAAAUACAAAUAUUAUUACAACAAUAUCAACAUAUUAGUCUAGUUUAAUGAACAAUUUAAUGUUAUUGUAUUAUUUUUGCCCUUGCAUUGUUUAAUUAAAGUCGCUUCCUUUGAUUGUUAACUUAAA